Molecule: ribosomal RNA, 468 nt
Filed under: uncultured bacterium
Lineage: Bacteria
Description: partial 16S ribosomal RNA
Rfam family: Bacterial small subunit ribosomal RNA
Source: RNAcentral
GACGAACGCUGGCGGCGUGCUUAACACGUGCAAGUCGAACGGAAAGGCCCUGCUUUUGUGGGGUGCUCGAGUGGCGAACGGGUGAGUAACACGUGAGUAACCUGCCCUUGACUUUGGGAUAACUUCAGGAAACUGGGGCUAAUACCGGAUAGGAGCUCCUGCUGCAUGGUGGGGGUUGGAAAGUUUCGGCGGUUGGGGAUGGACUCGCGGCUUAUCAGCUUGUUGGUGGGGUAGUGGCUUACCAAGGCUUUGACGGGUAGCCGGCCUGAGAGGGUGACCGGCCACAUUGGGACUGAGAUACGGCCCAGACUCCUACGGGAGGCAGCAGUGGGGAAUACUGCACAAUGGGCGGAAGCCUGAUGCAGCAACGCCGCGUGCGGGAUGACGGCCUUCGGGUUGUAAACCGCUUUCGCCUGUGACGAAGCGUGAGUGACGGUAAUGGGUAAAGAAGCACCGGCUAACUACGUG